Juglans regia (Persian walnut) is the source of this 978-nucleotide RNA transcript. It is a transcript of the gene named NAD-dependent malic enzyme 62 kDa isoform, mitochondrial-like, with no coding region annotated. The record is from RefSeq and is a predicted model, not a curated record. The transcript is spliced from 4 exons. Lineage: Eukaryota; Viridiplantae; Streptophyta; Magnoliopsida; Fagales; Juglandaceae.
AAAAAAAAAAAAAAAAAAGAAUCCCCAAGCAUAAACCAGAGGUCAUUCUUGAGACUAAACAACCUUAGCCUAGCUCUAUUUGAAUCCCCCAAGAGGCCCAACCUAGUUCUAAUAACGAUAAUAUUCCUGAGAACCAACCUGUUUUUGACCCCGAAAUUGAUCACCAUCUUGAACACACCGUCGAGGCUAAUAUGGUGUCAAAUCCCUCUUUACCUCUGUUGAAUGCAAGGUCUGAAAAGCCUCUUGAAAAUUAGGACUCUACAGAUGUUACUAACCAAAUCUCUAAUGGAAAUGAGCCUACUAAGGAGAUACCCAUCUUUAACUCCUCUGCUAUGCUUGCUAAUGAUCUUAAUCUGGACUCUAGUAUAGCUAUUAUUGAAGAAGAUCCACAGCCUUCAAAAGCUCAUUUGUUGGAUUCAAAAGCUAUGGUGAAUGCUCCCAAAAAGAAAGGCUGAAAGGCUUCUUGACUCUACAAAAGAAAUGGAAGACUCAAUUGCUGUGAAUUUAAGGUACUUCCUGUGAUGAUUGAUGUUGGAACUAAUACUGAGAAGCUGCUAAAAGACCCAUUGUAUUUGGGUCUUCAAGAACAUCGUCUUGAUGGUGAUGAGUAUGUUGCUGUCAUCGAUGAAUUCAUGAAUGCAGUUUUUACUCGUUGGCCAAAUGUGAUUGUGCAGUUUUUACUCGUUGGAUGUGCAUUGUAUUUUUUAUUCAUUCUGUUUUCUGCAAUUUUUUUUAAUUACAUGAAAUCAUUUCCGGCGAGUAUAGUUCGCCGGAAAUAAUUUUUAAGCAAAGAAGAUUAUUUGCGGCGAAUAAAUAUCGCCGCUAAUAACAUUUUACGGUGACAUGUAUUCAAGCUUAAAGUCGUUUGCAAUAAAAUGAUAUUUAGCCCUAUGUAUUUGCAUUGAAGGUAUGGUUUGGAUAUUUGAAUUUAUUUUUAAUAAUUAAGGAUGUGAUUAUUAAUGAAGUUGUAAUUUUUUU